CUCCAUCUUGAACCGUGAGAACUGCUACUGUUGGUAAGUUGCAUUGCCACUGCCCUUACCGGAGGUAGUUGCUGGCUGCGUUUGAAGAUUUCAGUUGCAACUAGCGUUCGUUCUGGGACUGCUUCAUCUAUUGCUGGAACCACUAACUGAACAGGCUGAGUCACGGUGAUUCUAGCUGCCAAGGGCAGUUCUGUGGCUGUCGGAACCACCGUUGAGGCUUCUGUUAUUUGGUUCAGACGAUAUUCUUUAGUUACAGAUUAAGUUAUCGGAGCCACAUGUUGCGCCGUGAGGGUUGUCCUUGCUACUGCGAGAGU
This is a non-coding RNA of Arachis ipaensis, 314 nucleotides long. The record is from RefSeq and is a predicted model, not a curated record. NCBI's taxonomy places the organism in Eukaryota, Viridiplantae, Streptophyta, Magnoliopsida, Fabales, Fabaceae.